UUAUACAACUUUCAGCAACGGAUCUCUUGGCUCUCGCAUCGAUGAAGAACGCAGCGAAAUGCGAUAAGUAAUGUGAAUUGCAGAAUUCAGUGAAUCAUCGAAUCUUUGAACGCACCUUGCGCUCCUUGGUAUUCCGAGGAGCAUGCCUGUUUGAGUGUCAGU
This 162-nucleotide ribosomal RNA is filed under the name Leucoagaricus rubrotinctus. RNAcentral's name for it is "5.8S ribosomal RNA". It matches the Rfam family "5.8S ribosomal RNA". Rfam says of the family: 5.8S ribosomal RNA (5.8S rRNA) is a component of the large subunit of the eukaryotic ribosome. It is transcribed by RNA polymerase I as part of the 45S precursor that also contains 18S and 28S rRNA. The record is from RNAcentral. Lineage: Eukaryota; Fungi; Basidiomycota; Agaricomycetes; Agaricales; Agaricaceae. RNAcentral also lists the same sequence under 4 other names.